UGGGGAAUUUUGGACAAUGGGCGCAAGCCUGAUCCAGCAAUGCCGCGUGCAGGAUGAAGGCCUUCGGGUUGUAAACUGCUUUUGUACGGAGCGAAAAGGUCUGCCCUAAUACGGUGGGCUCAUGACGGUACCUGAAGAAUAAGCACCGGCUAACUACGUGCCAGCAGCCGCGGUAAUACGUAGGGUGCAAGCGUUAAUCGGAAUUACUGGGCGUAAAGCGUGCGCAGGCGGUUAUGCAAGACAGAGGUGAAAUCCCCGGGCUCAACCUGGGACCUGCAUUUGUGACUGUAUAGCUAGAGUACGGUAGAGGGGGAUGGAAUUCCGCGUGUAGCAGUGAAAUGCGUAGAUAUGCGGAGGAACACCGAUGGCGAAGGCAAUCCCCUGGACCUGUACUGACGCUCAUGCACGAAAGCGUGGGGAGCAAACA
RNAcentral lists this ribosomal RNA (427 nucleotides) under uncultured bacterium. RNAcentral's name for it is "bacterial SSU rRNA". It matches the Rfam family "Bacterial small subunit ribosomal RNA", at positions 355 to 774 of the family's 1533-position model. The record is from RNAcentral.